GGUUCCGUGGUGUAGGGGUUAACAUGCCUGCCUGUCACGCAGGAGAUCGCGGGUUCAAAUCCCGUCGGGACAG
RNAcentral lists this transfer RNA (73 nucleotides) under Listeria monocytogenes. Its description in RNAcentral is "tRNA-Asp". It matches the Rfam family "tRNA". From Rfam's summary of the family: Transfer RNA (tRNA) molecules are approximately 80 nucleotides in length. Their secondary structure includes four short double-helical elements and three loops (D, anti-codon, and T loops). The record is from RNAcentral. Lineage: Bacteria; Bacillati; Bacillota; Bacilli; Caryophanales; Listeriaceae.